Molecule: non-coding RNA, 401 nt
Organism: Penaeus vannamei (Pacific white shrimp)
Lineage: Eukaryota; Metazoa; Arthropoda; Malacostraca; Decapoda; Penaeidae
Source: RefSeq, a predicted model, not a curated record
GAACCCUUCUAUUCCUUAGAGAUGCCCAUAAGAUGUGAACUCUUUGAUGAACACAUAAAAUCCACUCUUGAACAGGCUGAGAGAUUAGGAAUAAGCAGUAUAUGAAUUGUAUGACAAGUUCAGAUUUAAAACAAAUGCUGAUGGAUUUCAAGCAAAGGAUUUUAAAUAAUGUUUUGAAACAAACAAACGAAAGGGAUUGCUUGAUCCUUGUUUGAGGACCAAUAUAAGGUAAAUUGCAUCCAUUUUCUAUAUCCCUUGUUAUAUCAGUAAAUACACCAGUUUUAUUCUUUUACCUGUUGAUAAAUGUUCCCAAAAUAUUUGUAUUUCUAGUCUGAGAAAUGUUUCUAAACAUUUGCAGGUGCUUAUGACAAGUUCAAGAUAAACAAAUAUGAAACAUUUAA